GCUCCGGGUAGCUCAGUGGCCGCAGAGCAAGUGGGCGACAACCACGAGGUCACCGGAUUGAAACCGGCUUGGAGCA
Molecule: non-coding RNA, 76 nt
Organism: Cymbomonas tetramitiformis
Lineage: Eukaryota; Viridiplantae; Chlorophyta; Pyramimonadophyceae; Pyramimonadales; Pyramimonadaceae
Source: the annotation of a GenBank genome assembly